AUUGAACGCUGGCGGCAUGCCUUACACAUGCAAGUCGAACGGCAGCGCGGACUUCGGUCUGGCGGCGAGUGGCGAACGGGUGAGUAAUACAUCGGAACGUACCCUGCUGUGGGGGCUAACUAGUCAACAGAUUAGCUCAUACCGCAUACGAGCAGAGGGUGAAAGUGGGGGAGCGCAAGGCCUCCCGCCGUAGGACGGGCCGAUGUCGGAUUAGCUAGUUGGUGGGGUAAAGGCCCACCAAGGCGACGAUCCGUAGCUAGUCUGAGAGGAUGAUCAGCCACACUGGGACUGAGACACGGCCCAGACUCCUACGGGAGGCAGCAGUGGGGAAUUUUGGACAAUGGGGGCAACCCUGAUCCAGCAAUGCCGCGUGGGUGAAGAAGGCCUUCGGGUUGUAAAGCACUUUUGUCGGGAAAGAAAACGCGCUGGUUAAUACCUGGCUGUUAUGACGGUACCGGAAGAAUAAGCACCGGCUAACUACGUG
RNAcentral lists this ribosomal RNA (484 nucleotides) under uncultured bacterium. RNAcentral's name for it is "partial 16S ribosomal RNA". It matches the Rfam family "Bacterial small subunit ribosomal RNA", at positions 30 to 507 of the family's 1533-position model. The record is from RNAcentral.